GACACUGCAUACCCACCUGGAAGGCUGAAAUGAAUAAGACAAAGCUCGGUGUCUAUAACUUUGUGGAGUAACUGGAACUCUCAACACAGAAAUCCAUUCCUAGGUGUAUGCCUAACACACAUUUAGAAGGAUGUUUAUUCCAGUAUUAUCCAAACUCCCACAGAAAACAGGCCAAAUGCUGAUCAGCAGUGGAACAGGAUGAAAAAAUAUCAUAAAAAGAAAACCUAGUUAAUAAAGGCUUUGUGGAAGAGAGAAAGUUUGAGAAGCAACAUGCCAGG
Symphalangus syndactylus (siamang) is the source of this 278-nucleotide long non-coding RNA. RefSeq lists it as uncharacterized. The record is from RefSeq and is a predicted model, not a curated record. NCBI's taxonomy places the organism in Eukaryota, Metazoa, Chordata, Mammalia, Primates, Hylobatidae.